This is a long non-coding RNA of Myotis brandtii (Brandt's bat), 267 nucleotides long. RefSeq lists it as uncharacterized. NCBI's taxonomy places the organism in Eukaryota, Metazoa, Chordata, Mammalia, Chiroptera, Vespertilionidae. The transcript is spliced from 3 exons. The record is from RefSeq and is a predicted model, not a curated record.
AACUUGAAGUUGGUCUUUGAAGAAUUCAUAAUCUUUGGGGAUGUGGAAUUCAUUCUAAGUUGAAAGAAAACAGCCAAACACCAAGUUUCCUUCUGAAGAACUACACCCUUGGGUGGCCAUUAGAACCUGGAUGCAGUUAAACCAGAUGAAGAUUCUAUUUCAUCCAUUAUUUGAGGUGUGAAAAGAAGGACAACUUUAUCAUUAGCCUUCCAUCUGCUCAUGUAAACGUGGGCAUUUACCUUCAGCAAUGAUGAUGGAGUUCUGUUU